UACGUAGGUGGCGAGCGUUAUUCGGAUUUAUUGGGCGUAAAGGGUCCGCAGGGGGUUAGAUAAGUUUGAUGUGAAAUCUCGAGGCUCAACCUCGAAACUGCAUUGGAAACUGUCUAACUAGAGUACUGGAGAGGUAAGCGGAAUUCCUGGUGUAGCGGUGGAAUGCGUAGAUAUCAGGAAGAACACCGAUGGCGAAGGCAGCUUACUGGACAGUCACUGACCCUCAUGGACGAAAGCCGGGGUAGCGAAAAGG
RNAcentral lists this ribosomal RNA (253 nucleotides) under uncultured bacterium. RNAcentral's name for it is "partial 16S ribosomal RNA". It matches the Rfam family "Bacterial small subunit ribosomal RNA", at positions 524 to 776 of the family's 1533-position model. The record is from RNAcentral.